RNAcentral lists this ribosomal RNA (400 nucleotides) under uncultured Staphylococcus sp. Its description in RNAcentral is "bacterial SSU rRNA". It matches the Rfam family "Bacterial small subunit ribosomal RNA", at positions 990 to 1381 of the family's 1533-position model. Lineage: Bacteria; Bacillati; Bacillota; Bacilli; Caryophanales; Staphylococcaceae. The record is from RNAcentral.
GUUGGAUCGCUCUAGAGAUAGAGUUUUCCCCUUCGGGGGACAAAGUGACAGGUGGUGCAUGGUUGUCGUCAGCUCGUGUCGUGAGAUGUUGGGUUAAGUCCCGCAACGAGCGCAACCCUUAAGCUUAGUUGCCAUCAUUAAGUUGGGCACUCUAGGUUGACUGCCGGUGACAAACCGGAGGAAGGUGGGGAUGACGUCAAAUCAUCAUGCCCCUUAUGAUUUGGGCUACACACGUGCUACAAUGGAUAAUACAAAGGGCAGCGAAACCGCGAGGUCAAGCAAAUCCCAUAAAAUUAUUCUCAGUUCGGAUUGUAGUCUGCAACUCGACUACAUGAAGCUGGAAUCGCUAGUAAUCGUAGAUCAGCAUGCUACGGUGAAUACGUUCCCGGGUCUGACCACA